Molecule: long non-coding RNA, 1484 nt
Organism: Hibiscus syriacus
Lineage: Eukaryota; Viridiplantae; Streptophyta; Magnoliopsida; Malvales; Malvaceae
Exons: 5
Source: RefSeq, a predicted model, not a curated record
CUGAUGUCCGCUUCCGCCGCCGCCGCUCCUGCCUUUUGAGGUUAGCGUCUCCAUUCACCGCUUCUUUCUUUCAUCAUAGGCUCCGGUACCGACUUUAUUUGUUUUUCAUUCUAUUUCUAUUAUUCGUCGGAAAAUUUUCGAUAACCGCCAGAUUCUGUGUUUCAAAGAGAUUGCGAUUAGAACAGAAGUUAUAAGAAAAGAUUAAUCUUUUAAGCUCUUCCUAAUUGAAGAAGUGGCGAAGCGUUUUCUAUGGAAUCUUCCAUUUGUCCCUUUUGUCACCUUUCCCUUCCCUCCUCAGAACUCCAAUGGCACGCUAACAGUCACUUCGAGGAUGAAGAUAAGGAAGCUAAAGACCUGGAAUUGGCUAAUCAGAUUCAAUUCGCUUCUUCUUCAGGCUCCAAUAACGUGGAUAGCAUUUCCUCCUUGAUUGGUUUACAAACAAGGGGAAAUUAUUACCAUGUUAAAGAUGGUUUGAUUUCCUUGCUGAGAAAUUGUUUAGAACUAGAGGCCCCGCACAACUCAUCAGUAACCAUUUUGUCUGGCUACGAUGAUUAUUUCCAUAGUGUUCCAUCCAUAGAUGUUGGUUGGGGUUGUGGCUGGCGUAACAUUCAAAUGCUAAGUUCUCAUUUGCUCGCUCAUAGACAGGAAGCUAGAGAAGUCCUGUUUGGUGGGCCAGGUUUUGUUCCUGAUAUCGCUUUCCUUCAACGUUGGCUUGAGAUUGCUUGGGAAAGGGGAUUUGAUCCUCCUGGUGCCAAGCACUUUAACUGCAAAAUCUAUGGUACCAGUCACUGGAUUGGGACUACUGAAUGUGCUUCACUUUUUCGUUCAUUCGGUCUUUGUGCUAGGGUAGUUGUCUUUUGUCCCAAAGAAUCUGAACAGCUCUUCUUUAUGUUCCUGGUUCUACUCUUGGACAACCAGUGACGCAAAGGAAUGCAGUUCAAGUUUCUGGACCUAUAGUAUGGAUAGAUAUGUUCAUCGCCAGCAUGGUUUGAAUAAGGGAAGGCACUCUUGUGAUGGAUCGGGCAAAUUGAGUUAUAAUUCUAAAGGGAAAAGUGAGGGGCCUCAGGUUCUGAUAGACUGGGUGUGGAAUUACUUUUCAGAUAAAGGGCUAACUGUAUCCAGUUCCAGUCAAGUUGUAGUCAGCAAUAGAGCGCCUUUAUACUUCCAACAUGAUGGACGUUCAAGAACAAUCAUUGGGAUUCAGGUUAAAAAUUAGCAGAAUGGGAUGCGUCAGUUCAAUCUCUUGAUUUUGGACCCUUCUGAGAAGCUUAUAAAAAGAGUACACACCUUGAAGAAGCCACAGUUCCAGUUAUGCUAAAUUGAUCCUGGAAUUACUAGCAGGGAGGAGCUCGAAGAACUCAAAACUGUAAAUAGCAUGCUCAUUGAAUUGUAGAAAAAUAUAGUGAAAUUGUGUCCUUGGGUACUGUGCACCUAUUUCUUGUAAAGUUUUGUGCCCUAUCCUUUUUUUCAUGACAAAAUGAAUA